Molecule: ribosomal RNA, 252 nt
Filed under: uncultured bacterium
Lineage: Bacteria
Description: partial 16S ribosomal RNA
Rfam family: Bacterial small subunit ribosomal RNA
Source: RNAcentral
UACGGGGGAGCAAGCGUUGUUCGGAUUUACUGGGCGUAAAGGGCGCGUAGGCGGCGCAACAAGUCAGCUGUGAAAUCUCCGGGCUUAACCCGGAGCGGCCAGCUGAUACUGUCGUGCUAGAGUGCGGAAGGGGCUACUGGAAUUCUCGGUGUAGCGGUGAAAUGCGUAGAUAUCGAGAGGAACACCUGUGGCGAAGGCGGGUAGCUGGGCCGACACUGACGCUGAGGCGCGAAAGCUAGGGGAGCGAACGGG